Molecule: ribosomal RNA, 104 nt
Filed under: Sinocyclocheilus grahami
Lineage: Eukaryota; Metazoa; Chordata; Actinopteri; Cypriniformes; Cyprinidae
Source: RNAcentral
UCUAAUUUUAAUUGAAGACUGGUUGCCCACUGAAGCUAAGCAGGGCUGAGCCUGGUCAGUACCUGGAUGGGAGACCUCCUGGGAAAACUAGGUUGCUGCUGGAA